This is a non-coding RNA of Podarcis lilfordi (Lilford's wall lizard), 76 nucleotides long. The record is from the annotation of a GenBank genome assembly. NCBI's taxonomy places the organism in Eukaryota, Metazoa, Chordata, Lepidosauria, Squamata, Lacertidae.
AGGAAUGGCCAUAGCUCCAUGGUAUAGCAUCUACCUUGCACGCAGAAGGUCCCAGGUUCAAUUUCUGACAUUUCCC